GACGAACGCUGGCGGCGUGCUUAACACAUGCAAGUCGAACGGAAAGGCCCUGCUUUUGUGGGGUGCUCGAGUGGCGAACGGGUGAGUAACACGUGAGUAACCUGCCCUUGACUUUGGGAUAACUUCAGGAAACUGGGGCUCAUACCGGAUAGGAGCUCCUGCUGCAUGGUGGGGGUUGGAAAGUUUCGGCGGUUGGGGAUGGACUCGCGGCUUAUCAGCUUGUUGGUGGGGUAGUGGCUUACCAAGGCUUUGACGGGUAGCCGGCCUGAGAGGGUGACCGGCGACAUUGGGACUGAGGUACGGCGCAGACGGCUACGGGAGGCAGCAGUGGAGAAUAUUGCAGAAUGGGCGGAAGCCUGAUGCAGCAACGCCGGGUGCGGGAUGACGGCCUUCGGGUUGUAAACCGAUUUCGCCGGUGACGAAGCGUGAGUGACGGUAAUUGGUAAGGAAGCACCGGCUAACUACGUG
RNAcentral lists this ribosomal RNA (468 nucleotides) under uncultured bacterium. RNAcentral's name for it is "partial 16S ribosomal RNA". It matches the Rfam family "Bacterial small subunit ribosomal RNA", at positions 28 to 507 of the family's 1533-position model. The record is from RNAcentral.